AUGUUAGCGGCGGACGGGUGAGUAACACGUGGAUAACCUACCUAUAAGACUGGGAUAACUUCGGGAAACCGGAGCUAAUACCGGAUAAUAUUUUGAACCGCAUGGUUCAAAAGUGAAAGACGGUCUUGCUGUCACUUAUAGAUGGAUCCGCGCUGCAUUAGCUAGUUGGUAAGGUAACGGCUUACCAAGGCAACGAUGCAUAGCCGACCUGAGAGGGUGAUCGGCCACACUGGAACUGAGACACGGUCCAGACUCCUACGGGAGGCAGCAGUAGGGAAUCUUCCGCAAUGGGCGAAAGCCUGACGGAGCAACGCCGCGUGAGUGAUGAAGGUCUUCGGAUCGUAAAACUCUGUUAUUAGGGAAGAACAUAUGUGUAAGUAACUGUGCACAUCUUGACGGUACCUAAUCAGAAAGCCACGGCUAACUACGUGCCAGCAGCCGCGGUAAUACGCAGGUGGCAAGCGUUAUCCGGAAUUAUUGGGCGUAAAGCGCGCGUAGGCGGUUUUUUAAGUCUGAUGUGAAAGCCCACGGCUCAACCGUGGAGGGUCAUUGGAAACUGGAAAACUUGAGUGCAGAAGAGGAAAGUGGAAUUCCAUGUGUAGCGGUGAAAUGCGCAGAGAUAUGGAGGAACACCAGUGGCGAAGGCGACUUUCUGGUCUGUAACUGACGCUGAUGUGCGAAAGCGUGGGGAUCAAACAGGAUUAGAUACCUGGUAGUCCACGCCGUAAACGAUGAGUGCUAAGUGUUAGGGGGUUUCCGCCCCUUAGUGCUGCAGCUAACGCAUUAAGCACUCCGCCUGGGGAGUACU
This 808-nucleotide ribosomal RNA is filed under the name uncultured Staphylococcus sp. RNAcentral's name for it is "bacterial SSU rRNA". It matches the Rfam family "Bacterial small subunit ribosomal RNA", at positions 89 to 884 of the family's 1533-position model. The record is from RNAcentral. Lineage: Bacteria; Bacillati; Bacillota; Bacilli; Caryophanales; Staphylococcaceae.